GACGAACGCUGGCGGCGUGCUUAACACAUGCAAGUGGUGCGACGAACCAGGCUUCGGCCUGGGGCGAAGCCGCGAACGGGUGAGUAACACGUGGGCAAUCUGCCCCGACGAUCGGGACAACCCGGGGAAACCCGGGCUAAUACCGAAUGUGGUGCCGGCUCAUGAGAGCCGGUACGAAAGGAAGCUUCGGCCUCCGCGACGGGAUGAGCCCGCGGCCCAUUAGCUUGUUGGUGGGGUAAUGGCCUACCAAGGCAACGAUGGGUAGCUGGUCUGAGAGGACGAUCAGCCACACUGGGACUGAGACACGGCCCAGACUCCUACGGGAGGCUGCAGUGGGGAAUCUUGCGCAAUGAGCGACAGCUUGACGCAGCAACGCCGCGUGGGGGAAGAAGGCUUUCGGGUCGUAAACCCCUUUCAGUUAGGACGAAGCUUUAUUGGUUAAUAACCAAUUAGAGUGACGGUACUUUCAGAAGAAGCCCCGGCUAACUACGUGCCAGCAGCCGCCGUAA
Molecule: ribosomal RNA, 509 nt
Filed under: uncultured bacterium
Lineage: Bacteria
Description: partial 16S ribosomal RNA
Rfam family: Bacterial small subunit ribosomal RNA
Source: RNAcentral